This is a non-coding RNA of Cataglyphis hispanica, 138 nucleotides long. RefSeq annotates it as small Cajal body-specific RNA 8. The record is from RefSeq and is a predicted model, not a curated record. The transcript has a single exon. NCBI's taxonomy places the organism in Eukaryota, Metazoa, Arthropoda, Insecta, Hymenoptera, Formicidae.
CGGAAGAAUAGAUACACGAGUUUUUACAAGAAAAGAUUACUCGUCACUUAAUCCUUCCAAAAAAAAUAUUAAAAAAUGCCUUCUGAUGACUGUAAUUUGUGAAGUAUUAAUUUAUAGACAGAUACGGGGCAUACACUU